This 331-nucleotide ribosomal RNA is filed under the name uncultured eukaryote. Its description in RNAcentral is "partial 18S ribosomal RNA". It matches the Rfam family "Eukaryotic small subunit ribosomal RNA", at positions 1470 to 1796 of the family's 1831-position model. The record is from RNAcentral.
CCCUUAGAUGUUCUGGGCCGCACGCGCGCUACACUGACGAAGUCAGCGAGCAUGUCCUACGCCGACAGGUGCGGGGAAUCUUGUCAAACUUCGUCGUGAUGGGGAUUGAUUUUUGAAAUUCUUGAUCAUAAACGAGGAAUUCCUAGUAAGCGCAAGUCAGCAGCUUGCGUUGAUUACGUCCCUGCCCUUUGUACACACCGCCCGUCGCUACUACCGAUUGAAUGGUUUAGUGAGAUCUUCGGAUUGGCGCCACUGCAGCUCAGCAAUGGGCUUGAUGGAUGCCGAAAAGUUGAUCAAACUUGAUCAUUUAGAGGAAGUAAAAGUCGUAACA